Molecule: ribosomal RNA, 759 nt
Filed under: Occidozyga cf. laevis TNHC 63035
Lineage: Eukaryota; Metazoa; Chordata; Amphibia; Anura; Dicroglossidae
Description: partial large subunit ribosomal RNA
Rfam family: Bacterial large subunit ribosomal RNA
Source: RNAcentral
AAUUUCAUAAUUAUGAAACUACCAUGCUAGAACUAGUAACAAGAAAAUGAAUUUCUCCAAAGUGUAAACAUAAACCAAAACGGACAACCCAUUGGUAAUUAACGACUCUGAACCCAUUAUAGCAAAACAUCUAGAAAACCCUAUACUUAAUACCGUUAACCUUACACAAGAACUCUUCUGGAAAGAUUAAAAGGAAGAGAAGGAACUCGGCAAAUUUUAACCCCGCCUGUUUACCAAAAACAUCGCCUCUUGCUUAGUUAUAAGAGGUCCCGCCUGCCCAGUGUUUCAAUCAACGGCCGCGUGAUCUAAACGCGCGAAGGUAGCAUAAUAAUUUGUUCUUUAAAUGAGGACUUGUAUCAAUGGCAUCACGAGGGUUAUACUGUCUCCUCUCCCCAAUCAGUGAAACUAAUCUCCCUGUGAAAAAGCAGGAAUAAGAACAUAAGACGAGAAGACCCCAUGGAGCUUAAAACAAGGCAGCAAUUCAAUAACAAAAUCAGAACAAUCUUAAGCCCUGUAUGCCAGUUUUAGGUUGGGGUGACCACGGAGCAAAGCAAAGCCUCCACAACGAGAAGGGAUUAUUCCCUUACCCAAGAGACACGCCUCUAAGAAUUAUUAAAAUAACGCCUAAUGAUCCGAUUAUCGACCAAUGGACCAAGUUACCCUGGGGAUAACAGCGCAAUCCACUCUGAGAGCUCCUAUCGACGAGUGGGCUUACGACCUCGAUGUUGGAUCAGGAUAUCCCAGUGGUGCAGCCGCUAC